AUGGGUUUCCGCAUAACAAGUAUUAUCAGAAGAAAAUCAUUUUCCAGAACCCAAGGAUCUACCAAGGGAUUUGAAGUUGCUAAAGGAUAUCUCGCCGUGUAUGUUGGAGAUAAAAUGAGGCGGUUUGUGAUUCCAGUAUCAUACUUGAACCAACCAUUAUUUCAAGAAUUACUUAUUGAAGCAGAAGAAGAAUUUGGAUAUGCUCAUCCAAUGGGUGGUCUAACAAUUCCAUGCAGUGAAGAUGAAUUCUUAAACCUCACUUCUAGAUUGAAUUGA
This 276-nucleotide long non-coding RNA is filed under the name Vicia faba (fava bean). The record is from RNAcentral. Lineage: Eukaryota; Viridiplantae; Streptophyta; Magnoliopsida; Fabales; Fabaceae.